UUUUUUUUUUGAGAAAAGUCAGCAUAAAACACUUUUAUUGCAAUAAUAAAACUUGGUGCAGAGGGCAGGGGACAAAAGCAUACUUUCUCUCACCAAAUCACUACACAGGACAGCAGAUGGCAAGAAGGAACUGGAGGAGGGAAAAAAAGCCAGGAAGCCAAGAUUAGCAGAGAGAGCCAAGCAUCAAAACCCAGGAGAUGCUGAAGCUGUGAUGACCAGCAUCACUUUCUUAGAGAACACUCAAGGAUUUGUAGUGAUGACUGAGCGUCCACUGGGUGCCGCGCAAGGCCAACCC
RNAcentral lists this long non-coding RNA (295 nucleotides) under Cricetulus griseus (Chinese hamster). RNAcentral's name for it is "lncRNA (ENSCGRG00000024912.1)". Lineage: Eukaryota; Metazoa; Chordata; Mammalia; Rodentia; Cricetidae. The record is from RNAcentral.